RNAcentral lists this ribosomal RNA (53 nucleotides) under Puccinia coronata. RNAcentral describes it as "partial 18S ribosomal RNA". It matches the Rfam family "Eukaryotic small subunit ribosomal RNA", at positions 1778 to 1830 of the family's 1831-position model. The record is from RNAcentral. Lineage: Eukaryota; Fungi; Basidiomycota; Pucciniomycetes; Pucciniales; Pucciniaceae.
GGAAGUAAAAGUCGUAAUAAGGUUUCUGUGGGUGAACCUGCAGAAGGAUCAUU